AUUGAACGCUGGCGGCAGGCCUAACACAUGCGAGUCGAACGGUAACAGGAAGAAGCUUGCUUCUUUGCUGACGAGUGGCGGACGGGUGAGUAAUGUCUGGGAAACUGCCUGAUGGAGGGGGAUAACUACUGGAAACGGUAGCUAAUACCGCAUAACGUCGCAAGACCAAAGAGGGGGACCUUCGGGCCUCUUGCCAUCGGAUGUGCCCAGAUGGGAUUAGCUAGUAGGUGGGGUAACGGCUCACGUAGGCGACGAUCCCUAGCUGGUCUGAGAGGAUGACCAGCCACACUGGAACUGAGACACGGUCCAGACUCCUACGGGAGGCAGCAGUGGGGAAUAUUGCACAAUGGGCGCAAGCCUGAUGCAGCCAUGCCGCGUGUAUGAAGAAGGCCUUCGGGUUGUAAAGUACUUUCAGCGGGGAGGAAGGGAGUAAAGUUAAUACCUUUACUCAUUGACGUUACCCGCAGAAGAAGCACCGGCUAACUCCGUG
Molecule: ribosomal RNA, 490 nt
Filed under: uncultured bacterium
Lineage: Bacteria
Description: partial 16S ribosomal RNA
Rfam family: Bacterial small subunit ribosomal RNA
Source: RNAcentral